UACGGUGGGGGCAAGCGUUGUUCGGAAUUACUGGGCGUAAAGGGCUCGUAGGUGGCCAACUAAGUCGGACGUGAAAUCCCUCGGCUUAACCGGGGAACUGCGUCCGAUACUGGUUGGCUUGAGUUUGGGAGAGGGAUGCGGAAUUCCAGGUGUAGCGGUGAAAUGCGUAGAUAUCUGGAGGAACACCGGUGGCGAAGGCGGCAUCCUGGACCAAUACUGGCGCUGAGGAGCGAAAGCCAGGGGAGCAAACGGG
RNAcentral lists this ribosomal RNA (253 nucleotides) under uncultured bacterium. RNAcentral describes it as "partial 16S ribosomal RNA". It matches the Rfam family "Bacterial small subunit ribosomal RNA", at positions 524 to 776 of the family's 1533-position model. The record is from RNAcentral.